This 472-nucleotide ribosomal RNA is filed under the name uncultured bacterium. RNAcentral describes it as "bacterial SSU rRNA". It matches the Rfam family "Bacterial small subunit ribosomal RNA", at positions 355 to 825 of the family's 1533-position model. The record is from RNAcentral.
UGGGGAAUCUUGGACAAUGGGCGCAAGCCUGAUCCAGCCAUGCCGCGUGAGUGAAGAAGGCCUUGGGUUGUAAAGCUCUUUCAGCAGGAACGAAACGGUCGGCUUUAAUAAAGUCGGCUAAUGACGGUACCUGCAGAAGAAGCACCGGCUAACUACGUGCCAGCAGCCGCGGUAAUACGUAGGGUGCGAGCGUUAAUCGGAAUUACUGGGCGUAAAGCGUGCGCAGGCGGCGACAUAAGACAGAUGUGAAAUCCCCGGGCUCAACCUGGGAACUGCGUUUGUGACUGUGUUGCUAGAGUGUAGCAGAGGGGGGUGGAAUUCCACGUGUAGCAGUGAAAAUGCGUAGAGAUGUGGAGGAACACCGAUGGCGAAGGCAGCCCCCUGGGUUAACACUGACGCUCAUGCACGAAAGCGUGGGUAGCAAACGGGAUUAGAUACCCUCGUAGUCCCUGAGCGGGCUGGCAAGGCGCAU